AGAGUUUGAUCAUGGCUCAGAACGAACGUUGGCGGCGUGGAUUAGGCAUGCAAGUCGAACGGGGUUGGGGGCAACUCCAACCUAGUGGCGAACGGGUGAGUAACGCGUGGGAAACCUGCCCUUGAGAUGGGGAUAACACUUCUAACGAGGUGCUAAUACCGAAUAAGACCACGAAGUCGCAUGGCUUCGCGGUCAAAGAUGGCCUCUGCUUGCAAGCUAUCACUUAAGGAUGGUCCCGCGUCCCAUUAGCUAGUUGGCGGGGUAACAGCCCACCAAGGCGACGAUGGGUAGCUGGUCUGAGAGGAUGAUCCGCCACACUGGGACUGAGACACGGCCCAGACUCCUACGGGAGGUAGCAGUGGGGAAUUUUGGACAAUGGGGGCAACCCUGAUCCAGCCAUUCCGCGUGAGUGAAGAAGGCCUUCGGGUUGUAAAGCUCUUUCAGCAGGAACGAAACGGUAGAGGCUAAUACUCUCUGCUAAUGACGGUACCUGCAGAAGAAGCACCGGCUAACUCCGUGCCAGCAGCCGCGGUAAUACGGGGGGAGCGAACGUUGUUCGGAAUUACUGGGCGUAAAGGGCGCGUAGGCGGCUUCAUAAGUGAGAUGUGAAAGCUCCUGGCUCAACCAGGGAAAUGCGUCUCAUACUGUGAGGCUUGAGUGCAGGAGAGGAUGGGGGAAUUCCCGGUGUAGCGGUGAAAUGCAUUGAUAUCGGGAGGAACACCAGUGGCGAAGGCGCCCAUCUGGCCUGCUACUGACGCUGAGGCGCGAAAGCUGGGGGAGCAAACAGGAUUAGAUACCCUGGUAGUCCCAGCUGUAAACGGUGGGCACUAGGUGUGGGGGGGCAUCGACCCCUCCCGUGCGCAGCUACGCAUAGUGCCCCGCCUGGGGAGUACGACCGCAAGU
Molecule: ribosomal RNA, 903 nt
Filed under: uncultured bacterium
Lineage: Bacteria
Description: bacterial SSU rRNA
Rfam family: Bacterial small subunit ribosomal RNA
Source: RNAcentral